UACAGAGGGUGCAAGCGUUAAUCGGAGUUACUGGGCGUAAAGGGCGCGUAGGCGGUGUAUUAAGUGAGAUGUGAAAUCCCUGGGCUUAACCUAGGAACUGCAUCUCAUACUGGUACGCUAGAGUAUUGUAGAGGGUAGUGGAAUUUCCGGUGUAGCGGUGAAAUGCGUAGAGAUCGGAAGGAACACCAGUGGCGAAGGCGGCUACCUGGACAAAUACUGACGCUGAGGCGCGAGAGCGUGGGGAGCAAACAGG
Molecule: ribosomal RNA, 253 nt
Filed under: uncultured bacterium
Lineage: Bacteria
Description: partial 16S ribosomal RNA
Rfam family: Bacterial small subunit ribosomal RNA
Source: RNAcentral